Molecule: long non-coding RNA, 486 nt
Filed under: Equus caballus (horse)
Lineage: Eukaryota; Metazoa; Chordata; Mammalia; Perissodactyla; Equidae
Description: lncRNA (ENSECAG00000057022.1)
Source: RNAcentral
CCCAAGCGAAGCAGACAAUUUUGCAAUUAGUCAGAUAAUUCAGGGAAAGAAGGGAGUUCUGCCUGACUGACUCAGGCGAUCCUGGCUCCAGAAACCUCCUAUAGAAACAAGUUGCUCAACUGGAAAUUCUCAAUGCUACCUCCACGACGACAUUGCUUCCUUAACCUCAUUGUUACCUGCCCUAGACAAUUUCUCCAUCCUGCACAUGGCCAUGUAUUUUUUAUCUACAUCAUCCUUUCUGAGAUUGAAUGGGGUGGCCAUCUUGGAAGCUGUAUGAGGAAAGGAAGGAGCUAUGAGAUAGAAGGCAUCUGUGUCCCUGAAUCACAAGUUGGAGAGUGAGAAUAGAUGACUACUAAUCAAGAAUACCUGUUGUGGACAUGUGGGAGAAAUAAAUGUCUGGUGUAUUAAAACACUAACAUUUUGGGUUUGUUUUUACAGAGGCUACAUUAUCCUAAAUCAGAGGUCAACACAGUGGCUCACGGGUCU